GACGAACGCUGGCGGCGCGCUUAACACAUGCAAGUCGAACGGACCGAAUUCUUUCGGGAAAGAGGUUAGUGGCAAACGGGUGAGUAACGCGUAGGCAACCUGCCUCCCGGAUAGGGACAACGGCUCGAAAGAGCCGCUAAUACCUCAUGGCGUGUCAGAACCGCAUGGUACUGACAUGAAAGGUGCUCAUGGCACCGCCGGGAGAGGGGCCUGCGUCUGAUUAGCUAGUUGGUGAGGUAACGGCCCACCAAGGCGACGAUCAGUAGCCGGUCUGAGAGGAUGAACGGCCACAUUGGGACUGAGAUACGGCCCAGACUCCUACGGGAGGCAGCAGUGGGGAAUAUUGCACAAUGGGGGAAACCCUGAUGCAGCAACGCCGCGUGAGUGAAGAAGUAUUUCGGUAUGUAAAGCUCUAUCAGCAGGGAAGAAAUGACGGUACCUGACUAAGAAGCCCCGGCUAACUACGUG
This 468-nucleotide ribosomal RNA is filed under the name uncultured bacterium. RNAcentral describes it as "bacterial SSU rRNA". It matches the Rfam family "Bacterial small subunit ribosomal RNA", at positions 28 to 507 of the family's 1533-position model. The record is from RNAcentral.